Grammomys surdaster is the source of this 204-nucleotide long non-coding RNA. RefSeq lists it as uncharacterized. The transcript is spliced from 3 exons. Lineage: Eukaryota; Metazoa; Chordata; Mammalia; Rodentia; Muridae. The record is from RefSeq and is a predicted model, not a curated record.
AGAAAGCUGGACCACUAAAUGCUGAAAGAAUUCAAGAAAUGUGGAGCUUGAAGAAACAUCUCCAACCUUCCAGGCUCCUUGAGGGCUGGAGUAGGAAGGGCCUGUGUCAGAGGCUAGAGGAAUUGAAUCUUCCAGAAGCUAGAGUGACAGGCAUCUGAGAGCCACCUCAGUUCUCUGGAGACAAGAGAUUAACAAGGGAAGGGA